CAUGGAAUCGAUCACUCCUAGUAAGAGGAGAUCGCAUCCUGUGUAUUCUCAAUCAUAGUAAUUUGAGAAAAUUUUUUUAGCCAAAAGUAGAAAAAAGAUUAGAAAGAGUUUCUAAUAUUUUUUUAUUGGAGCCAUCAUUAGUUAAUUGAGAAUCAAUAUGAAUAUGUAUUUGAGUUUGACAUGAUUCCAUACUCAUGAACAUAUUCAGGGUGCAGGG
RNAcentral lists this long non-coding RNA (217 nucleotides) under Elaeis guineensis (African oil palm). Its description in RNAcentral is "long non-coding RNA (EGUI_LNC053250)". Lineage: Eukaryota; Viridiplantae; Streptophyta; Magnoliopsida; Arecales; Arecaceae. The record is from RNAcentral.